CAGGAAAGGCCCCCUUUCAUCCCAGAAGGAGUGGUGGCACGCAGGAAGAGAAUGGAGAUUGGGGAGCCUCAGAGGAAGAGGGAACGAGAUAUUGAACUGGAACUGGGAGAUGAUUAUAUUUUGGAUCUUCAAAAGUACUGGGACAUAAUGAAUUCAUCUGAAAAGUAUGAUAAGAUACCUGAGAUCUGGCAAGGCCACAAUGUAGCUGAUUACAUUGAUCCUGACAUCAUGCAGGUUUGUGUCACUUGUUAAAUUACAUGGUUUUUAUUCCUUUUUAAUACGACCACAAGGUACAAGCACAACUUUUAGCUGGUCUCAUGGUGUCAUGGUCAGUACUCUGUUCUGUGACUCAAGCACAGCUUUGGGCUCACCUGCACCUGUCGGUGUCGUUCCUUCUAUACCCAUGACCCUCCCCAUCCCCAGUCACUGACAGCCUGCUCCUGCCAAGUGUCCUGGAGACCCCAACACUCUGCCCAUUGGCAGUGCCAUUCAUCCUCGUUCCCCACAGGCCUUUUCCCUUCUCAGACUCCUUUUCUACUUCCCUCUUAACUAAAAAGAUCAAAAUGUGUGUAAUAUUCAUAUUUAAAAAAAAAAAAUAAAUAUAUGUAUGCAUAUACACACACCUAUCAGUUUUUAUCCUUUAUUGUUAUUUUAUUAGGUUGCACUUAUUGUAUAAGCUUCUUUUAUGUAGAAUAUGAAAUUAUGUCAUUCACAGGAUUUCCCUUUUUGACAAUGGCUAACCAGAAAGUUCCAAGUGACAAAGUCAAAUUAAAUAUAGUUCCCAACAAAAUACUAUA
Non-coding RNA from Miniopterus natalensis, 797 nucleotides. Lineage: Eukaryota; Metazoa; Chordata; Mammalia; Chiroptera; Miniopteridae. The record is from RefSeq and is a predicted model, not a curated record.